RNAcentral lists this ribosomal RNA (365 nucleotides) under uncultured eukaryote. RNAcentral's name for it is "partial 18S ribosomal RNA". It matches the Rfam family "Eukaryotic small subunit ribosomal RNA", at positions 592 to 976 of the family's 1831-position model. The record is from RNAcentral.
CAAUAGCGUAUAUUUAAGUUGUUGCAGUUAAAAAGCUCGUAGUCGGAUUUUGGCUGAGAACGAACGGUCCGCCGUUAGGUGUGCACUGUUUGGUCUCAGCUUCCUGGUGAGGAGGUGUGCUUCACGGCCACUUAGUCACCGUGGUUACUUUGAAAAAAUUAGAGUGUUCAAAGCGGGCUUACGCUUGAAUAUAUUAGCAUGGAAUAACACCAUAGGACUCCUGUCCUAUUUCGUUGGUCUCGGGACGGGAGUAAUGAUUAAGAGGAACAGUUGGGGGCAUUCGUAUUCAACAGCUAGAGGUGAAAUUCUUAGAUUUGUUGAAGACGAACUACAGCGAAAGCAUUUGCCAAGGAUGUUUUCAUUAA